This 441-nucleotide ribosomal RNA is filed under the name uncultured bacterium. RNAcentral's name for it is "partial 16S ribosomal RNA". It matches the Rfam family "Bacterial small subunit ribosomal RNA", at positions 339 to 795 of the family's 1533-position model. The record is from RNAcentral.
CUACGGGGGGCUGCAGUGGGGAAUAUUGGGCAAUGGGCGCAAGCCUGACCCAGCAACGCCGCGUGAGGGAAGAAGGUUUUCGGAUUGUAAACCUCUGUCCUUGGGGACGAAGAAGUGACGGUACCCAAGGAGGAAGCUCCGGCUAACUACGUGCCAGCAGCCGCGGUAAUACGUAGGGAGCAAGCGUUGACCGGAAUUACUGGGCGUAAAGGGUGCGUAGGCGGCAUAUUAAGUCAGGUGUGAACUACUCGGGCUCAACCCGGGGGCUGCAUUUGAAACUGAUAUGCUUGAGUGUGAGAGAGGAAAGUGGAAUUCCUAGUGUAGCGGUGGAAUGCGUAGAUAUUAGGAGGAACACCAGUGGCGAAGGCGACUUUCUGGCUCAUAACUGACGCUGAGGCACGAAAGCGUGGGGAGCAAACAGGAUUAGAUACCCCGGUAGUC